Molecule: long non-coding RNA, 1414 nt
Organism: Hippoglossus stenolepis (Pacific halibut)
Lineage: Eukaryota; Metazoa; Chordata; Actinopteri; Pleuronectiformes; Pleuronectidae
Exons: 5
Source: RefSeq, a predicted model, not a curated record
CCCGGAGGUGGGAGGUCCAACAGAAGAGACCCGGGGCUGCUGUGCUCAUGCAGCGUGUCGGAGCGAGGCAGACCAACUUUUUUUUUUACGACGCGAAGAUGGUUACGCACGUAAACCCAUUUCCUCGCUAUGAGAUAAAUCUCAAUGAUUCGCCUACUUUCAUCUCCUGUAUAUACAGGUCACUGACAGUAUCAUGUUUUUGAGUUGACCUUGAACUCAGAGGUGGAGACAACAGAGCAUCGGAGAGUUUGUGGGACAGAGGGACAGUCAACUUCAGGGCCUUGAAGCAGAGGAGUGGAAAAGGACAUGUGGCAUUGCAUCAUGCUCCAAUGUGAGGAACACGAACAUUACUACAACAACAAUCAAUGUGUGGUCGAGUACUGUGGGACAGCAGGAUUCGAAGCACUCUUUGCAGAUGGGUGCACACGCUGCCUCUCCGAGCUUCUCCUCUGCCAUGGGAGGAGUGGGCGUCGAAACACGAGGGUGAGAGAUUCUUUGACUCUGUGUUGAAGACCAGGGGACAGAAGCAAGUACGGGAGACUCAGAUGAGACCAACUUGUCCUGUAACAGCUAUUAAUUACAUAAUGCUCAGUGGUAUUUUCAGGAAAGAUUUUUACUUUCUCUCCCUUAUCCCACUUCUAUUUUUUCCUGGCUACUUUCCCAGGCUUGCUCACAUGCUUUCUCACGAUUUUCCCUCUUUUCAUGGUUUUUGUUUUCCUGUUUAGCUCAUGCUCUUUAGGAAACAUCCACGCCCCGGAUGUCUGAUCCACUGGGUGUCUGUGGCAGUGAGAGCGGGCCGUCCACUAAUCAGAACGUCGGUGAUUCGAUCCUCUGCUCCUCCAGUCUGUAUUCUGAAGUUUCCUUGGGCAAGAUACUGAACCCUAAAUUGCCGAUAGUGUAGAAAUGGUCUAAUAGAAUCGCUGUGUGGACUGAAACAUCUGUUUUACCCCCUUCUUUGCUUUGCUAGGGUUUGCUUACAUCAAGUUUUAUCACCUUUCACAUUUCCUCCUAUUGUCUCUUCAACCACAUGUCUCCCUCCCAUUGUCCGUGUCUAUUCUGACUUUUGUCUGAAGCCUUGUCUCUUCCUCAUCUCGUCUUUAAGCAGUUUCCCUCUCCUCCCUGUCCGGAUGACCCGAGUUGAUCUGAGAGCCCUGCAGUGUUUUCAUUCAUCGUUUGAAACCUCUAAUCACUCGAUCUGUCUCACAGAUGCUAUAAAAAAAUGCUCUCUGUGGAUGUAAUGUGCUUCAACACGCAUGUGUGUAUAAGGGUGUGUGUUUAUGUGUGUGUCUAUUGUAACUUUAUGAAAGACUAUGUUUCACACCCGGUUAAUACAAGAAUGAAUGUGUGUUUAUGCUGAGUUCUCUGUUUGUGUUCUCUGUCCUGAAGAAUAUGAGUAAACUCAAUAUAAAGAUAA